RNAcentral lists this ribosomal RNA (463 nucleotides) under uncultured bacterium. RNAcentral's name for it is "bacterial SSU rRNA". It matches the Rfam family "Bacterial small subunit ribosomal RNA", at positions 342 to 797 of the family's 1533-position model. The record is from RNAcentral.
GGGGAGGCAGCAGUGGGGAAUUUUGGACAAUGGGCGCAAGCCUGAUCCAGCAAUGCCGCGUGCAGGAUGAAGGCCUUCGGGUUGUAAACUGCUUUUGUACGGAGCGAAAAGGUUCUUCCUAAUACGGAGGGCCCAUGACGGUACCGUAAGAAUAAGCACCGGCUAACUACGUGCCAGCAGCCGCGGUAAUACGUAGGGUGCGAGCGUUAAUCGGAAUUACUGGGCGUAAAGCGUGCGCAGGCGGUUAUGUAAGACAGAUGUGAAAUCCCCGGGCUCAACCUGGGACCUGCAUUUGUGACUGCAUAGCUAGAGUACGGUAGAGGGGAAUGGAAUUCCGCGUGUAGCAGUGAAAUGUGUAGAUAUGCGGAGGAACACCGAUGGCGAAGGCAGUCCCCUGGACCUGUACUGACGCUCAUGCACGAAAGCGUGGGGAGCAAACAGGAUUAGAUACCCGGGUAGUCCG